This 23927-nucleotide long non-coding RNA is filed under the name Sorghum bicolor (sorghum). RNAcentral's name for it is "long non-coding RNA (SBIC_LNC011143)". Lineage: Eukaryota; Viridiplantae; Streptophyta; Magnoliopsida; Poales; Poaceae. The record is from RNAcentral.
CUACCCGACGCCGACGCCGAAGCCGCCGGCCAAGGGGCCCAAGCCGGAGAAGCCCCCGACCAAGGGCCACGGCCACAAGCCGGAGAAGCCGCCCAAGGAGCACAAGCCGACUCCGCCCACCUACACCCCGAGCCCCAAGCCCACGCCGCCGCCGGCUACUCCCAAGCCGACGCCGCCCACCUACACGCCGAGCCCUAAGCCCAAGUCGCCGGUCUACCCUCCCCCGCCGAAAGCCAGUACUCCUCCGACCUACACCCCGAGCCCCAAGCCUCCGGCGACCAAGCCGCCUACCUACCCGACCCCCAAGCCACCAGCUACCAAGCCUCCGACACCUCCUGUGUACACUCCGAGCCCCAAACCACCGGUUACAAAGCCUCCUACACCCAAGCCGACCCCGCCGGUGUACACGCCGAACCCCAAGCCACCGGUUACCAAGCCUCCGACACACACGCCGAGCCCCAAGCCUCCGACAUCCAAGCCGACUCCGCCGGUGUACACACCGAGCCCCAAGCCACCGAAGCCGUCCCCGCCGACGUACACGCCGACCCCGAAGCCACCGGCUACCAAGCCGCCCACCUCAACUCCGACGCACCCUAAGCCGACGCCGCACACGCCUAUCCCCAAGCCCACGCCGCCAACCUACAAGCCGGCACCGAAGCCGACGCCGCCGGCGCCCACCCCGCCGACAUACACGCCGCCGGUGUCGCACACCCCCAGCUCGCCGCCGCCGCCGCCGCCGCCGCCUUACUACUAGACGAAGAAGUGAUGAGGUCUCCCACUCUGCUGUCAGUCUCGGAGCAUUUAGGUACGUGCUACAAGAAUGGAGCAUGCACAUACAUACAUACAUACAUACAUUUUCUAUAUAUGCUUGUGUCAAAUGUAUCAUACUGUACUCACUAACAAUCGGUUCCGUUUUUUUGUGUUGCAGAAGGUGAUCGAUCGAAGAGUUUGUGUCCUAGCCAGCCGGCCAAGAUGAGCUGCUGAUGAUGAUGAGAGGCGAGGAGCGAGUCGUACCCCUCCCUCCUCUGUGGUGUGCUGCCGGCCGAUCCAUGCAUCAUCCCCAGCUGCAGGAGAAAAAAUAAUGCAGAGCUCUGCUGCUCCGUCUGUUUCCUGUCCUCCCGUGUGUUAGUUUUUGUGUGUUCGUCCAUGUGUUAGCAGGUGUAUUUGUGUGGGUAAUGGUAUUGCAACUAUUGGUGUAAAACCAUAAUAAAAUGUGGAAAUAUAUGCAAGGAAAAAGCUUGUUCUAGUUCUUUUUUUUUGGGUAUCUUCUGCAGUCUGUCGCAGGCUCGCUGCACCGUAUGGCCUUGAGUCCUCUCGAUGCUACUGUAGCUCUUUCCAUCGAUGACGUGACUAGAUGUGUGGUCACACUGACACCUCUACAGUAAGGCCUUGUUUAGUUCUUAAAAAUUUUUAAGAUUUUCCGUCAUAUCGAAUCUUUGGUCGCAUGUAUGGAGCAUUAAAUAUAGACAAAAAUAAAAACUAACUGCACAGUUUACCUGUAAUUUGUGAGAUGAAUCUUUUGAGCCUAGUUACUCCGUGAUUGGACAAUGUUUGUCAAAUAAAAACAAAAUGCUAUAGUACCAAAAACAAAAAAUUUUGCAAACUAAACAAGCCUAAAAAGAUCGGCCAAGGUCGCGGCAAGCAUGUUGCAUGCAUGCAUGCAAUGCAAGUCUGCGGCUGCGGCGACGUGAGGUGUCGUCACGCGCUGCGACUACGGUCUCGCUCGACGCGACGAAGCCGUACCCAUACCCAUACCCAGACACACACGGGCCAUCCCCAUCCCAUCCCCCGGCCCGGCUCUGCAGACCACCGAUUGCCCAAACAUCCUAGGGAGUAGGGAUGGAAGGAUGCAUCCACCCAUGUGUGUAGAGCUAAAGCAGGACAAAACCGAGAUGCUUGCCGCAAUGCCGCGUCUUCAAAAACCAAAUGCGGUUCGUGGUCGUUAUUAGGCCAUCAUAUUAAAUCUUUCGGUAAAUACAUUAAGUAUUAAAUAUAAAUAUAUAUAAAAACUAAUUACACAGUUUGUCUAUAAAUCGGUAGACAAAUCUUUUAAGUCUAGUUACUUCAUAAUUGGACAAUAUUUGUCAAAUAAAAACGAAAAUAUUAUAUUUGCGAAAUCUAAAAAAAAUUUAGACCUAGUACUACUGGUGAAAGGCAAGGAGCCAAGACAAGAACACUGGUGUAUUUUUAACUGCGGCCUUGUUUAGUUCACCCUGAAAACCAAAAAGUUUUUAAGAUUCCCCGUCACAUCGAAUCUUGUGGCACAUGCAUGAAACAUUAAAUAUAGACGAAAAUAAAAACUAGUUACACAGUUUAGCUGUAAAUCACGAGACGAAUCUUUUGAUCCUAGUUAGUCCAUGAUUAAAUAAUAUUUGUCACAAACAAACGAAAGUGCUACAGUACCGAAAACUUUUCACUUUUCGGAACUAAACAAGGCCCCAACAAAGGGAACACUAGACAGUCGGUGAAUAAAAAAGAUGCUAUACUGACGCUGGUGUACGGCAUGGUAACUUUACCCAGUGGCCAUUGCUGUAAACCUGUAACCAUAUUUUUUUUACUUUCCGUGUUAAGGGCCUGUUUAGAUUGGGAACGAAAAUUUUUUGGGUGUCACAUCGGAUGUGUCGUAAGGAUGUCGGGAUGAGUUUCUAGAAACUAAUAAAAAAACAAAUUACACAAAUUUAUUAAGCAUAAUUAAUCUGUCAUUAGCAUAUGUGGGUUACUGUAGCACUUAAGGCUAAUCAUGGAGUAACUAGGCUUAAAAGAUUCGUCUCGCGAUUCUUAACUAAACUGUGUAAUUAGUUUAUUUUUUUAUCUACAUUUAAUGUUCCAUGCAUGUGUCUAAAGAUUCGAUGGGAUGGAUAAAAAAAUUUUGGAUAGAAAACUAAACAGGGCCUAAAAAGAAUUACCAGUACCCCGUACAUAUAACACAGUGCAUGACAUAAGGAGAUUAUGGAAUAAUGGGGGAUAUUAUCAGGACGGUCUAGUAGAUAUAUAAGGACAUAUGAUACCACAUUUUAGUAGGCGCUCACGGUCACGGUCGACUUGAGUUCACACGGAUGACACAUCAUUUUCUUUGUGGCGGUGUGGCCACAUGCGCAUGUCAGAGAUAAGAUAUAUAAGAGUUAGGCUUGUUUAGAUGUCUUUAAACUUUUAAAAAUUUAUAAAAUUUCUCGUUAUCUUGAAUCUUGCAACGUAUGUAUAAACCAUUAAAUAUAGAUAAAAAAUAAUUAAUUAUAUGAUUUAUCUGUAAUUCACGAGACGAUUUUUUUUAAGUCUAAUUAAAUUAUAAUUGGACAAUAUUUGUUAAAUAAAAACAAAAAAGUACUAUAAUAUCCAAAUCUAAAAAAAUAGAUCUACACAGACCCUUAAACCGGAGAAAAGAGCUUUGCCUUACCAUACCUCUCACCGCUCAGAAAAACAGGCAGGGCAAAUGGCAGGAACAUGCAAAAGUAGCGCGUCAAAAUGUAUAAAAGAUGAACCUAAAAUAAAUGAUUUGUUCAGUACGAAUAAUUUUGGUAUUUUGUUGGGGCAGUUCGACGUAUCAGAAGGGUUGAAAAUCAGAGUUACAAUGUGCGGGAAAUACUUUGGUAGCAAUGUGCACAACUACAGAUCGCGCGCAUAUAAACGUAGGUUUGCCUUUGCGUUCUGGGUUUUCGAUCGACCAAAAUGAGUUUACGGUGACCGCAGCGAGAAAACUUUACAAGAAAUGGCGCGCGUGAUCGCGGUGACAAAAGUAGUACCAGUACAUCCUGCAUGAGAAAAAGAGCAUGCUUUGAUUGGUGGUAACGUGGCUCUUGUCCUCCCUGUGCUGAACAUCGAUGAGAAAAAGCCGUAAAGGAGCUAGCCGUGUAGGGCUUCCCCAAUGGACACUAAUAUGAACAUAGGCCUCAGACUAAAGUAACAUGCCAUACAGGUUGAGCUACCAAAACUUCCAAUGCAGACUACAAGUCAUUAGGUGCUCUGGCCUGACCUAGAAAGUUGCGUCACUUUUCCUUUCUCUCUGUUAGUUUUCUCUCCACUUUCGUUCACAGAAAGUUGUGUUCCGAAAGAUGGAGGCUUCAGCUCCGCAACGCAUUCUCGGAUUGUGGCUUGCCGCAUUCUCGGAUUGUGGCUUGCCGCUUUUGUCAGACGAAGCCAUCGACUCCUCUAGAAGCCUCUCUGACACCCUGCGGCGGGAUACUGAAGCCGAUGAUCUGGACGCUCGGUGCUUACCUAGACGACGGGGCAGUACGCCACAGUGGAGCGAUGGGGAAGCCCUAAGUGUCCUGCCCGGAAGCUCACGCCAUAGAAUAGGACAGUUGAAUUAAUUAAGACGAAGACCUUUCAAAAAGAUAAACCCAAUGACCUGUGCUUUUUUACCCAAUUCUCUGAGGUAUAAAAUGCAUGUGUGUUUUUUUGUUUUUAGAAGUACUGCACACAGCGCGCUUAAGCGUAUCGAUAGAGAUUUGGUGGUCUAGUAGGUACAGCACACUGACCGCAACCUCCCACGCAUCUUGUAAGGAAGGUACCACUGCCCUAGCAUGUUCGGUUGUCUAAAAAAUUAUGAUUAAAAAUAUUAUUCACUAAUUUGUUAUAGGUUGAUAAGCUCAAGAGAACAGACUCUUAAUCUCGCUUUAUAUUGAUUUUUUUUUCGCGAUCGGAGGGUUAGCCCAUUUUUCAUUAAGCGGAAGGUAACAACAUGUUACAAAAGUUAGGCGAAGGCGAAAGACCAACACCAGUAACGAAGCCUAGCUAGGCCUUGUUUAGUUCCCAAAAAAUUUUGCAAAAUUUUUCAGAUUUUCCGUCACAUCGAAUCUUUAGACGUAUGCAUAGAGUAUUAAAUAUAGACGAAAAUAAAAACUAAUUGCACAGUUUGUUCGGAAUUGACGAGACGAAUCUUUUCAGCCUAGUUAGACUAUGAUUAGACAAUAUUUGUCAAAUACAAACGAAAGUGCUACGGUGUCGAUUACCUAAAAUUUUGUAGAACUAAACAAGGCCUACUGGAAACCAAAAUGCAAAUUACAAAGAACCCAAGAACUGCGACCAAGCUGAAGCCGACAUUGAGAUCAAGUGAAACCCUACCAAAGCCCAGUCGCUCGCAUCCAUGGCCACCGCCUUGCAGAUAUCUGUGGCGUCGCUGACCAAAGAGCAUUCAAAGGUUACUGAGUUCCUCUCCUUCCAAAGAGUCCAAGCUACAAGCAGGAACAUGGAGUGGAAGAAUGGUUGCGCCGCCGAGUCGAUUGAAUCCUGUUGUUCAACAAUUUGAUUAGAACCAUAUGUGGUUCUUUUCCAACCCAUGUGUUAGUGAUUCCUGUACGUAGUGCUUGUAUGCCUUCCCCUAGAUAAAAUACCAGGACCUUCCUUUCUUCUUUCCUAGUACGAAGAGGAACAGGUGUCGUCUGCCUGUAAAACUUUUCAUUUUUAUCGCUGCGUUCUGCUGAUUUCGUGGUUAGUACCCGUCUUUGACCGUGGCCUCCCAUGCAUGAUAAACGCACAGCUGUCCUUAAUUAAUUAGUUUUGCUUCGCAUUGAAUGAAUCGUAUUACUAGGUCAACAGCAUACAGUAUUUUAAAACUUUCUUGUGAUGUGGUUCUUUCCAAACUAUGUAUUCAGUGCUUGCAUGCCUAAGAAAAGAUACCAGAACAGCCUUCUUUCCGGUGUCAUUAUAUGGUUAGUUCACCCAAAAACUAAAAAAAUUUUAAGAUUCUUUGUCAUAUCAAAUCUUGCGCCCAUGUAUGAAGCACUAAAUAUAGACGAAAAACAAAAACUAAUCGAACAGUUUGCCUGUAAAUCGCGAGACAAAUCUUUUGAUCAUAAUUAGUCCAUGAUUAGACAAUAUUUGCCACAAACAAACGAAAAUGCUACAGUGAUAAAAUCAAAAAACUUUUGCCGGAAAAGUCAGAAAUGACCUUGCGGGUUCAACGGCUUGUUGUUCCCGGAAAAGUCAGAAAUAAAAUGGCUGGCCAAUUUGUGAAUGAAGUUCGUAAAAAAAAAAUCAGCGAUCCUAGGUCUGUGGAGGAAUAGAUUAGGAGUACUGUUUAACACGUACUGAUUGACCGAUUCGUUGUGAGUUGGUAACAUGGUAGGUACUGUAGCUCCUAGACUCCUAGUAGUAUUAGAGGAGAAAGAAGAUAAUAAUGUCACCCCUAAAGAUGGUGUGCUUUAUAUAUACACUAGUCAUCAGAUAGGCCUAACUUGGAUCGACGACGAGCAGCUAAAUUUAGUAUAGAAUAUGUAGAGUGUAGCUAGAUCGACAAAAGAAAAAAAAAUAAAGACGUAAUUGCGUGGAAACAGCAGAUGAAAGAGUGCGCUCGGUAAUGAACUAAAUGGCCGGUUUGGUUGGCAGUGCUUACAGAGGCCAAGGACGGAGAGCAGCCGAGAGCUCCAUACGCUAGUAGGCUACUGUACAGGGUUUGUGGGAAAAAAAAAACCCUCCGUCGGUCAGUCGUCGGAGCCCCACCACGGUUCCGAGACGACGGAGAGUGGCUGGGGCCGGCCGGCCACGGGGAGCACGGGUGAGAAGGAUCGAGAAAAAGGCCAGGACCAGGACGGGUGCAGGGGCAGGAAACACGCGAGCCACACACAAGAAACAAGCGGGCGAUACCUGCAGAGCUAGCGGUGGAUCGGGGCCACGACAACGGGGGUUGGGGGCUGGGGCUUUGACCCUCCCCUCCCGGGAGGAUCGGAUCGGAUCGGAGGGAGGGACGCAUCGCAUCCCGACACCAGACACCACCGGCACCGGGGGCUCCAUCGACGGACGCGCGGCGCGGGUGAGGAAGGAGAGGACAGGCGGACGCGACCAGGAAACAGCACGCGCGCGAGUGCAAUGCGGAGAAUGAAACGAGCGCGCCGUGGAUGGCGGAGAAGCCGACAACUCGGCCACGGGGACGGGGACGGGGACGUGCCUCCGCCGCUCCCCACCUCUUCUCCAUCCGCGGCGCCUUCCUUGCUAGGGGAAGGGGAGCUGCGUGACUUGUCCACACAUGUACCAGUGUUUCAGCUUGCUUUGUAUUUUUUUUUUUUUUUGCGAACGGUUUCAGCUUUGUAGUUGUAGCCACGACGGCCUGCCUCCACUGUACACCCCCAGCAUUUUUGAUAGUAGUACCGGAGUACAUACAGUACAUGUGAUCAUUUUAGUUUUGUCUUUAAUUUCCUUGCUUUUAUUUUUGCAUCCAUCUCGUAUACUACUGCUACUGCUUGAAGACUUGCAGUUUCCCAUCCCGGCCCAGUGCGAACAUGCAAUCAUUGGCCCGCGCAGGGACACACGGUCGGACGGGCCACACCAGAGGCGAGCAGUGCCGCCGCGUGCACACGGCGUGCCGAGAUGCUCAUCAAUCAUCAUGACUACCGGAGUUCUCCACUGCUACCGACCCAAUGACGAUUCACAACAGUACCAUGCACCGUGCACUACCGUACCACACCAAGUUUCGGAAUCGUCCAUAUUUCUAAUAACAGAUACAUCGGACGUGUGUGUAUGGACACCUCCCUCCCACAUGCAAAAAGCUAGCGUUACGGGAAAUUAGAAAUACACAAGACGUUCCAGAUCGGAUCCAACCUAAAGCACUACACGCAUUGCCUUUCCGAUCGACGACUGACCAUGCCAUUGCAGACAAUGCCGCCCAUGCCGGAACCGUCUCCCUGUCUAGCUUCGCCUAACGUUCAAACUCUAGCUAGCCAUCUCAUGCUGCGCACAUGCCACCAAUAAAGCAUACUACUACGUGCUAGCGGUGUGUUUUACUACAGCUGCCCUCUAGCUAGGCAUGAGCAUGGAUUGCAUGCGCGGCACAAUCAGAAGAAAUUAAGGGAGUGGGCAGCCGGUGCACGGAUAAAAACGGAUCGGAUCGGAGCGGAUAAUAGCUUUCUUAUAUCCUAAUUCUUUUUUCUUGAUUGUUGGAUUCAGAGCGGAUCGGAUAUCAUGCGGAUUCGGAUACGAAUACGGAAUGUCGGAAAUGGUACAAUCUAUCGGACCGGUAUCAGAGCGGAAGCGGACUUUAAAAUCGGAUAAUAUGUGCUUACAUGUUGUUUCUUAUGAUGAGAAACAAUUCAUUAACUAAAGUCAUAAAACGGUUGUGCAACAUAAAAUAAUCACUAUCAAUCCAGCACUUCGAUCUAAGGUCUCAAAAUUUAAUACAAGUUAGCCGUUUGAAUUUAAGAGUAGAAAAAAAUAUGUGAAAUAAGUAAAUAUUCUUAAUUAGGCAAAACUUUGUCUUCACUCUUUGCCUUCUAAUAGUUCUUCAUUUUGGUAAAAUUAUUUCAUUAGACAAGCUUUGUUAUGGGCUAUAAUAUAAUAAUGCUUGUGUCAUGGGCUAUGUUGACUUAUAUUCUUUUUCACUUGUGCUCUAACUCUAACAUGAACUUACAUAUAAUGAUUCUAAAAAUAUCCAAGCAUCAAAAUAUAAAAAAGGUUCAUCUUCUUCCUCCUGCCUCCAUCCGCGAUACUUGCAAGGACCGUGACUGGCCGGGAGUGUGAGAGGGAGGGAGGUAUGGGGUGCAAGAGGGUGGAGGGCGCCGAUCAUGGUGGGGCUUGAGUGGGGGUGCAGUCGUGAACUCAAGUGGGGGCGGAUCAUGCGGUUAUGCUUAGGUGGGGCAUGCAUGCUUGUUGUGGUGGGGGUGGGAGUGGCGGUGAAGCCGAUCCCGGGAGCAAUGACACAAUGCAUGGACAGAGGAGCGAGUGGGGACGAAAAAAUAGAAUGGGAUACAACAAUCGGUAUCUUGUGUAAUAAGUAGCAGUGGUGGGUAUUUUUUUUCUCAAACCUCACCAAACUUUAAGUUUUCAUAGCACCCUUUGAGCUGCUCCAUGAAAUACAUGGAUCUAAGGGUAGAUCCAUGGUUUUUGUGAAGCUUCUUUAUAUGGUGGAUUAUAGUGUGGAUGUAGAAGUGUUUGGCUAGAAAAGGUGGAUCUAUAGAUGUUUUUGUGGAUCUAAAGAUGCUAGAGCUCUUCCAAACAGGCCCCAUGACAUCUCUAGAGAUCCAUCACUAAUAGAUGAGAGUCAAACCUUUUUCAGAGAGCAAAAGAUAGAUAAGACUAGUACAGGGAAGGGCUUUAGCCCCAGGCCGUAAGGGCCUUUAGUCCCGGCUACGGAACCGGGGCUAAGGUUUCGGGACUAAAUGUCCCACCUUUAGUCCCGGUUCCACGGACCACCUUUAGUCCCAGUUGGUAACAGCAAUAAUGUCGUCAGGCUCCAACUGUUCUUCUUCACCUUCUUCCAUCAUUAUCCCGUUUUCUCCAUGCUUGGUCCAACAAACAUAGUUUGGCAUAAAACCCGACUUCAACAAAUGUGAGCGAAUAUUUCUAGAGCUAGAAUAUUCCUUUAAAUUCUGACACAAGGCACAUGGGCAACAUAUGAAUCUGUCCCGCUUGUUUUCCUCGGCCACUCUUAAGAAAUAAUGCACACCAUCAAUGAAUUCUUUGGAGCGGCGAUCGACAUUGUACAUCCAAUGACGUGUCCUUGUCUGCAUUGCAACGUAAAGUAUUAUACUUUUCUAAUUUUUUAUACAAAAAUUAAAGUAACAAAUAACCUAAAAUUCUCUAUUUCUAGUUUUUCUAAACCAGCAAAAUUAAAAAGACAUAAAAGUUCUCUAUUUUCUAACUAAUCAUGAAAUGUGGCAUGCAUACUAGUUAUAAUUAACUAAUUAACCAUGUCAUAAAUUGCAAAUUAAAUAAAUAUAAGUUUCUAAUUUUUAAUAGAGAAAUUAAAGUAACAAAAAACCUAAAAUUCUUUAUUUCUAAUUUUUCUAAACAAGCAAAAUUAAAAAAGCACAAAAGUUCUCUAUGUUUCUAACUAAUCAUGAAAUGUGGUAUGCAUACUAGUUAUAAUUAACUAAUUAAUCUUGUCAUAAAUUGCAAAUUAAAGUAUUAUAAGUUUCUAAUUUUUAAUAGAGAAAUUAAAGUAACAAAAAACCUAAAAUUCUCUAUUUCUAAUUUCUCUAAACAAGCAAAAUUAAAAAAGCACAAAAAUUCUCUAUUUUCCUAAAUAAUCAUGAAAUGUGGUAUACAUACUAGUUAUAAUUAACUAAUUAAAUCGAUCAAAAAUAGCAAAUUAAAGUAUUAUAUGUUUUUAAUUUUUUUCUAAACUAAUUAAAAUAAAAAAUAUAUUAUCACUAUUUCUCUAAAAAAACGUGUCGAUGUUGAAAAGACGAUGAAGCUAAUAACCUCUUAAAAAACCAUAAAAUAAAAAACAACAUACAUAACACUAGGAAAUGACAUAUGCCGCUGCUAAAUGUUGAGAAGAUGAAGCUAGUGACCUCUUAACAAGUCGAUGACGGCGUAGAAAUGAUGAAAUGAAUCAAUAGCCGGAGAUGAGAGCAAGAACAAGCAACUCCAAAUGAAGAACACAGCAAAAGAGUGAAGAUCGAUAGACUCGGCCAGGGGAAGAAGAGUUCAAAUAUGGGGAAUGACAUUUAGUCCGGGUUCUAUUUAAAAACCGGGUCUAAAUUCCAACAUUAGUCCCGGCCGGUGAGACGACCGGGACAACAGCUUUUAAUCCCGGUUGGUGGUAGCAACCGGGACUAAAGGCUAGGCUUUUGUCCCGGUUCGUGAGACCAACCGGGACUAAAGGUUUCUUCUGCCGAUCUCUGACACCAUAGCCGUUGGGCAGGAGACUUUUAGUUCCGGUUGGUGAGUCAACCAGGACUAAAUAUGUUUUUGUUCCGGACGCUGAUUGGGCCGAGAUUAUUGUUCAUUUUGGGCAAGUGACCAAAGGCCUGUUCUGUACUAGUGUAACGAGUCAAAUUGUUUUAGGAUGAAUUUUUUUUCAGCGUAUCUAUAUAUGAUGGAUUUGCAAUGCUUAAUUAGGAGUUAGGACUUGCAGUGAAUCAGAACUCAGUAAUAAUGAAACUAAACUAGAGUAAAUAAAACGACACGAUUGCACACAGCACAAGUCAAAUGUACAGUGCGGAUGUGGAACGGCAAGGCCAAUUUUGUCAGACGACGCACCCAAAAAGGUUUAUUCCUGCCGGACUGCCGACGACGGAGUAACUAUCAGCCACUCGACCGUUCUCCCCGUCCACAAAAUUCUUGGGUCCAGAAUCCAGAUAUCGCAAGGUCUCCAAAGCCCACUCGGUGAAGUUUGGUCCAAACACACCUGCAGCAGCACAGCCAAGACCGAUGGAUAUAGGUCCAGAGCCCAUUAAACUCUCCCCUACCCAUUCAGUUCAGGGGUAGAGAACCUGUCAAAUCUUUUGAAACAAUAGAAUCUGUCAAAAUCUAACCGGUCGCUCAAGAUACUCCCCGGCAAAUCCAAGUCUGAUAACCAUAUCUUAUCUGAAUAUGGGUACAGCGUUUUUCCAUUGGUAUUCUCAAAUUUCGUCGGGGUCUGGCAAGCCGUAGCUUCGUCUCUGCUUCAUGCUUCUGAAUGAGUGAAAACAGUCUAAAUGGAUGCAGGUCCUCUAAAAACGAAAGCGUUUAAUUGGUUGUAUAUCUAGAUGCAGUAAUGUGUAUCUGUGGAUGAAUCACUUUGUAAAAUCCAAAUCAUGUAUCUCCAAAGCCAGGUUUAACGUUCAUUUCAUCAUCACUUUGAAGAGACAAGACUUGCUAAUUGAUGUGCACUCAGCCGUGAAUUUUGCUAAUAAAGUGCCUGCAUGCUUCGAGGUCCAAGAACACGGCAUUUGCGGCCCCGUCGUCCCCGUGAAGCACGGCCCAGUCAAACGCUCGCACAUUCUUGGGAUAGAUAGAUAGCCCUCGAUCGGCAGUUUGUCCACCAGCAGCACCCAACCCAAGAUAAUGGGAUUGGUAACAUCAAACUCAAGAUUCAAACGUCCAUGGCCACUAUAUAAGGCGCGAAAUGGACGAGCAUCAGAGGCAAGCCAAAACCCACAGGCAUGGGCACCAGCACCACCACGAACAUGAAGGGCAUCGCCCUCCUUGUUGCUCUUGCCGCCGCUGCCUUCUCCUCGUGCUGCAGCGCUGCGUCGUCUCCCUCUGCCUUCCCACCGGUAGAAGCACCGGCGGCUCAUGAGCCCUAUGCGGAGGCGCCGCUGGCUGCACACCCUGGUUCUGAGCACGGGAAGCACCACCACCAUGAGUCGGUAGCGCCGGUUGAGCCACCGUCGUACCACGGCUCGCCUAACCACAAACAUCAUGGCCACCAUGGCCAUCACCACCACCACCACCAUGCAGCUCCACCAAGCCCUUCCCCGGCUCAUCAGCCUCCACCGCCCCCAGCUCAUUAUGCACCGCCGCCUCAUUUUCCAUCUCCUCCUGCACACCGUGCACCACCGCCUCCGGCUCACUACGCACCGCCACCUCAUUUUCCAUCUCCUCCUGCACACCAUGCACCACCACCUCCUGCUCACUAUGCACCGCCACCUCAUUUCCCUGCACACCAUGCACCACCACCCCCAACUCACUACACACCGCCGCCGCAUUUUCCAUCUCCUCCUGCACACCAUGCACCACCACCCUCAAAUCACCACACACCGCCGCCUCAUUUUCCACCUCCUACUCACCAUUCACCGCCGCCUCAUUUUCCACCCCCCGCUCACCCUUCACCACCGCCUCCGGCUCACCAUGUACCACCGCCUCAUUUUUCACCUCCCGCUCAUCAUGCUCCACCGCCUUAUUCUCCACCCCACGGUCAUUAUUCUCCACCACCCCCAGCUCACCACUUCCUGCCCCCGCCUCCAGCUCGCUACCCGCCGCAUGUUUCGCCACCUCCAACACACAAAUAUCCACCACCACCGUCGCCUUCUCAUGGUAAGGCACCACCACCACGUGGCCACAGGAAAUUCCCGCCACCAUCUCCAUCAAUGUAUUCAACUAUAGCACCCUCACCGGCAAAUUAUAAUGCUCUCUCACCAUCUGAGCAAGGUCCCAAGAUCCCAUAUCAUGUUGCCCCGAGUAAUGCACCUAUGCCAUGAAGUCAAGAUGGAGCAUCGCCUCCGUGGUAUUUUUGAUGCGAAGGUCAAGAUAAACACUACCUAAGUAAGAUUGCAGUUCAACUUUCAGCAAGAGAUCAAAAGCUCAAUAGCUACUUCGGAAAGAGUCCCUUUUUUCUUAUCAUACUUUAUCAUGUCCAAUCAAAAUGUUAUUGAAUAAAUUAUGUAAUCCAUUUGGACCAUGUUGUCGAUGAAGUCUUAUAUCAAAAUGUCUCUUCAUCCUUUUGUGUUUAUGUUAUGGAACCCAUAUUAUAUAAAUUGUCCCUGUCCAUAAUACUAAUUGUACGCCCCUCAACUUCUACUAAUUGACAUUAGUUAGUUCAAGCUAACCAACAUGAAUUAUUAGAAAUAAAAAAACUCGACCGAGGCGGUUAAGAUUGCCGUCGUAGUUUUCAAAUUAAGAAGAAAGUGUCUUCUUACCUGGAACCCCUCCAGUGCUUUGGUUUGAGGACGAAUGAUGGAUUUUUUAAAACCCAGCUUAAAAUUUGCACCCAUUGGGAUUCGAACUCAGGCCUGGGAGGUGCACCGGAGUGCUUAGACCAACUAAUCUAGCAUCCUUUGGCUGAAUUAUUAAAAAUAGGAGGUAAUAUAUAAUUAUCGUCUAAUUUAUCAAAUCAUUUUUUAUGUCCUCUCAAGGUCAGUGGUGCAAUGAGAUGUACUCCCUCCGUCCCAGAAAUACAUGACAUUAUGGGAUACUUGCUGGUUAAACGUUCUUAACUUUGACUAGAUUUAUAGAAAAUACGUGCAAUAUUUAUAUCUCUAAUUAAAUUUAUUAUGAUAAUAUAUUUAAUGAUCUAUCUAAUGAUACUAAUUAUAUAUUAUAAAUAUUAAUAUUCUUUUAUAUAUAAUUAGUUAAAAUUAGAAAAAGUUGACUUCUCGUGAAACGAGAAUGAGAGUAACCUUUAACGGUUUCAUUGUAGCUAUUAUGGCAUCUCAUAUCAUAUAUACUAGCUGGUUGGAUUACGAAGCACAAGUACAAGAAGAAAAAUGUUUCAAACAAAUUGUAUCUUCUGCUUUAGGCCUUGUUUAGUUCUCAAAAAAAUUUAAGAUUUUCCAUCACAUUGAAUCUUUAGACGCAUGUAUGAAACAUUAAAUAUAGAUUAAAGAAUAACUAAUUAUACAAUUUGUCUAUAAUUUGUGAGAUGAAUUUUUAGAGACUAGUUAGUCCAUAGUUAAACAAUAAUUAUCAAAUACAAACAUAAGUGCUACAGUAGCCAGCCCAAAAUUUUCGCGAACUAAACAAGUCCUUAUUAGCCAAUUACAAUGAAACUUGUAUUGAACUACAUCUCCUUUCACCAAAAAGGUCUUUGUUCCUAAAAAGACCACUGAAACUCAAUGAAGAUUAACCAACAAAUAGUUGUGUGUUUACUUUCACCAUCAGCAAACAAUAUGUUCGCUUGAACUUAUCAGCCGAAUCUGUUAGCCGUUCAGCAAUGUUUUUCUCUUAAAAAAAUCAGCUAACAGCGGACCAUCGAUAAGUUGAUGGUCAGUGUUCCGGGCUGUUGUUGGGCCUGGCAACUACCAUGCCUUUUGUCAUUAGGACCUCAGCCGGGGACCUUUUCUUUGAUGGGUUGUUUCGCCUAUUGAGAAUUGCAUCUCUCUAAAUUUUUCUUAAAAUUAAAUCUUAGAGACAUAUUUGGUGGUUAAAAAAUCCCUACCAUGUAUUUAUUAGAUUUUUUAACGAAAAAUUGAAUAAAAUCACCUUGAAAACUACUUCUAAGUCGUAUAUAAAGGUAAUUAAAGGACAUAAGGUAACUUAAAUAGUUUUAUAAGAGUUUAAGUCCAAAAUUCAACGACAAGAUUUUUUGGUUUCUUCUUUGAGCAACACAAGAAUUUUUGGUUGCUGGGCCUUCACCAGAUAUCCUCUGCUGGGCUUUGUCUGUGUCUCAGCAGGCCCGCCGGUUCGACGAAUCGUGCAAACUUCCAAGUGCCAAGCCGACCAGCCACAAGCCCACAGGCCACAGCCCCACAUUGUGGAGGCGGCGGCGGAGCCUUCUGCCUUCGCCGGAGAGGAACUGGAGCCGCCGAGGUGACGAGGUGGUUGGUGGUGGAACUUGCAAGGGGCGAAGGAGGCCGACGCAGCCGACAUGGUCAUGGGGGGAGAGGGAGGUCGGCGUCCUCGCGGCGCGGUGUUGCCGCUGCCUUGUCGCCUCGUCGGUAGCACCAAGCGCCACCUCGUUGAGCUCGCGUCAGCCUCCCUUCACUUCCUCCUGAGAUCCUCUGUAGGCUUAGCAAGCUAGUAUUAUCGAGGCACACUGUGGUUGAAAAUUAGAAUUGUUGUCAAGUGUUACAGUCAAUUCAAUUAGGGCAAAUUUAGAAUAUCCCAUUCUGGUGAGGCAGAGUGGCACAUAAGCAUCCAUUAUCAUGUUUAACAGAAACAUCUCUUGUGCAUAUUGGACCUUUAGCUGUCCUGAGUAUCUGUGAGUUGUGUCCUAGGACUAAUUUGAGCCCUUUUUAGAUCCCUGUUGGCAAAUUCUAUUGUAGAUACAGGUGAGAAGUGGCGGUGCCAUUUUGAGGUCUAAAUGUCCAAAAUGGCUAGUUAUUUGUGACCUUCAGUGCCAUCUAGAUUAUUUUGAAGCCAAUAACUUUAGUAUAAUGCAUGCAGCUCCACCUACCACUAACAGCAUAAAAGGUAAUCUAUCUGUCAGAUAAGAUCAGGAUCCCACAAUCAACUAGAUGUUGCUUUCGCCUUUACCUUGAUUCAACAUGUUUUUAUCAGUCAUAGUCUCAUAGAAGGAGCCAAUAAUCAAGAAAGGUGUGAAUCUCUUGAUACCAUCGUUAAUCAUACUUUGGUCUUUGGUACCUUGUACUUGUAGCUGAUAUAGUUCUCUGAUUUAUGAAAUGUAUGCUAGCUUGCUUCGGUAAAUUGUUCUUCAAGAAACCUUUGCUAAAAUUCAUGAGGUAAUAUUCAAUUUGUUGAAUUGUAAUAACUAAGGCUGAUGUUCAUCAUACAAAUGGUGUGAAGAUGCUCAGACAUUGGGCUAGAAAAGGUAUGCUGCAUCAUAAAACCAGACCUCUUCCUCUCCCUAUCUUUGUGUGCCUUAUCUGCAGACUGCAGUGACAAAAUUGGGGACCAGAGUUAGCAUAAAGUGAUAUAAGCUUAUCACACUUUAUUUUACCUGUGAUGUGAGUCACACCUGAAUAUUUAAAUGUCACCUUUUUCUAGAAGUGUGUAUGUGAGGUAUGAAUUCACCCAAUCUAUAUAUAAAGAGUUAAUUGUUCUGGUAAUUGUUUCAGAUUAAAUAAAUAUGGUAUGCGAUCUUGACUUCUUGCCUCCAUUGAUAUCUGUACUGUUCUUUUUUAUAUUUCUGUCUGAGCUCUUAUGUCUUAUCUUCAGAUUAUUCUUGAGGAAAGUAUUGGAUUGAAAAAAUGCUGUUACUAGGAAAACACUUUGCAUAUGGUACUUAGUUAUUCUAGAUCAAUCUGUAAAAUCUUGUGUUAGAGCAACUCCACCAGUUGAUUGAAACCAAUCCUAUUUCCCUAUAACCAGCAAUAGAGGGGUCAGAGUAAAAAAUGAGCUCCAUCAGAUCCUCUUUCUAAACCCCUUUCCCCAUUUUUUUUUCUCAGCUCCUCAAAAUCUCUCUCUCUCUCUCUCUCUCUCUCUCUCUCUCUCUCUGAUAUCCGGGUGCUGACACUGCAUCUCUGCAAAGACCGGGCGAGCUGGCAUGCGGGCUGCCACGCCGCGCAGAGUUCUGCGCCACCCAGCCUUGGGCAGGCCGCCGCUACACGCCCUGCGCUGCACUGCUCCCCGCACUGGGCAAGCUGCAUCUGCAGUCAGAGGAGAAGAGAGAAACUGGAGAUGAGAUGAAGAGAUAUUUGUUCAGACACAUGGGUUCCACCUAUAACAUCGAUGAGUGUUUCUCAGUCUGCUAGAGCACAUAUCCCCUGUACUAUUUAAUUCAGUGCAUGUAUGCACUUUCAACUGAAUUCUGGCUUGCUGUAUGGUAUCUGAUGGCUAGAUCACUGUAAAGGCGGCAGCAGCAGUCCUGAACACAUUACUGGGUCGCUUGAUUUUGGACAGGCAGUAGAUGAGAAUUGGCAAGUGAGAGAGUUUGGCCUUGCUGACCUUUUCUAUUCGGUACUGUCAGAGCUCAGAAGUCUUUUUUCAAUAUUAAUAUGGAUGUAAAAACACACUGUUUCAGAAAAAAAAAGUAGUGUAAAGACCUAAUCAACCUUUAUGACUUUUAUCAUCUGCAUUAUCUAUUGAGAUUGUCAACUCUUUUCUUAGUUUUGUAGUAUUUUAAAGGUUUUCCCAUCUUGUUGUGAAAUAUGAACUUUACAUAUGAAUUUAUCGACGCACCCUUUUCUCUUUCUUCCCUCACUUACCAACUUAUCCUACAUUCUCUAUCAUUUAGUAGAUAUUUAUAGCAAAGGUAUCAGGGUCAUUUUCUCUCAUUUUUUGGAUUUCACCUUGUUAAUACUUGUGGCUAUGUUGCGCAGGAGUGCAGGCAAGGCAGAAAUGGCCAGAAGCAUUCCUGUAACUAUGCAAGUAAAUUUUUCUUGAGCUUUUUCUGACUGAGUAAUCUGGAAGCACCACUGAUCAGUAGCCAUACCUUUUAUUCUGUUUUUAUUUCUUUUUCCUGGUUUGCUUUAAUCACUUUUUGUUGAACGAAUGCUCUCUCUCCUGCUGACUAAGUUGAUAAGGUAUUAAACCCUGCUUGUAACUUAAGAGUGACUAGAUAGAUCUAAGGCUCCAAAGCAGAAAGUGAUGGGUUGAGAUAAGGUUAACUAUGGAUAGCCUGGAAUAGUCAUAUGACUCCCACGUAGACGUCUACAACUUCACACUGAAGAUGCAUUGGGCAAAUGCAUGGUUCAAUCAAGGAGUUCGUUGUGCAUAUCCGAAACAGGGACCAUUUUAUAUUUUAAACAUUUUACAGAGCUCAUAUGAUUGUGUUGCUCUCUGCACAUGAGCAUACAACUAGAAAUUGCAUCAUGACUGAUAAGAGGCUAUAUGUUUGUCAGAGAACUGUUGUGACAACCAUUGGUUCAAAUUGAAAUAGAAGUGCUUCGCCAUGUUAUUGAAUCCUCAUCAAAGCAACCAUAGCUGUUAAGUCCACUUGUCUAAAGAAAAGUACUUCCUCAAUUUCAUUUUUAAUGGGGCUACCGAAUCAGCCAUAGUCCCUGGGAACAUGAAACCAUGCCGUGUUCAUCGUCCUAUGGAUGUCUUUCCUGUUUGAAGAACACAGGAGCAAUCUCGUCCCCACCUUGUGGCUUGUCAAAAUCUUCCUGGGAACUUGGUGACUGUGAUCAAUCCUUUCCAUGCUACACCGAUAAAUGAGUUCUCAAUAUGUAAUUGACUUUGCUCCAGCUGAGCUUGUGUAUGUAGGCACCAUGUUAAAGAAGCAUUCAGCUUUGUUUAGGAAGCAACACUCAUAGUUUAUAUAAUGCUCCAUAGAUAACAUGCUUAACAUAUUUUUUGUGCCUAAAUUGCUUUUUGUCGACUAACCACUCAUUCAAGGGGUGCUGCACCUAGUAGGAUGUUGUUGAUAGCCCAAGCAGUCUUAAGCUAACAUAUCAGACUCCAAUUUGCUAGAUUGCUUUUGGUCCACACAAAGUGGACAGGAUCAAAACAGAGCAACAAAGGAUAAACAUAUGCUUUGUGAGUGCGCAACGAAUAUAUAGCUGCUCCAUUUCCUUUGUGUUUAAGCUUAGAUGAUUGCUUUUCCCUUUUUUUUAGUAUUAGCUGCAGUCUUAUCUUUCUUGUAGCUAUAAGUUAAAUAAUGUCGCUGUGGUCUUUGGCUAUAUACUUUAGUCCAAGUUGCCAUCGAUCAGCUUACACAUGAAUCGAGUUAAUUCAAAUUGAUUGACUUAUUCAGCAUGUUCUUUUUCCGCAGUUAGGAGUCUUGUUUGCAUAAAACAAAGAGGAAUUGCACCGAGUGAUAGGUAUUUAUAUUUCUCUUUUACUUAGCUCGAUAAAUAUGACUCCGUAUUAUAGAGAUAAAUUUAAUGCCAAAAAGUGAACAAUGUUUGGUGCCACAUCAUUUCACUUUGCAGGCGUUGUGAGUAUGACGUGUCUUUGCAUGGACCAGCACGUGACUCAGUUCUUGUGAAGUCAUGAAUCCACCAACAGAGGUCAAAUAGCUGACUGCAGCCAGAAUGUUUGCAGCCGCACAUGAUGAUCCUUAAAAUAUUUACAGCCAUCCAGCAUAACCUUAGAGCUGGUUUGAAGAGGAUGCAACCGAUGCAGCUACCCAAAUGGUCAGUAUAUGUUUACCCUUUUAAAAUCGCCAUUUUCCUUUUCCUGACAAAUCUGAGUUGUAGUCUCCACGCUUUGCAUAUGUACUUCUUAGGCCUUGUUUAGUUCAACCCAAAAACCAAAAACUUUUCAAGAUUCCCCGUCACAUCGAAUCUUGCGGCAUAUGCAUGGAGCACUAAAUAUAAACGAAAAUAAAAACUAAUUGCACAGUUUACCUGUAAAUCACGAGAUGAAUCUUUUAAGCCUAGUUACUCUAUGAUUGGACAAUGUUUGUCAAAUAAAAACAAAAGUGCUACCGUUCCGAAAACCAAAAAGUUUUCGGAACUAAACAAGGCCUUAUACAUUAUUAUCAGGCAGACAAGAGAUUGUGCUGUGUGUGGCCCUCUGAUUCCCAAAAACCCACUGAGAUGCAGUCCACUUGCACAAGCAAGGAAGCUUCCAAUUGUGCACAUUCCAACCUUUGCCAAAUGCUUUUUUGUCUCAAUUGGCUGGCAGAGACGAAAGGGACAAGGGCAAAAGAGGCAGCAUUUCAUAUACCAAAUAAAAUAAUCCACAUACUAUAUUAUUGCAGCCUCAAAGAGCCUAUAAAUACUUCAGCGCAGACCCAGUUUAUGAUUCUACAUGAGGCAGACUAAAAACAAGAACAUACCUACGCAACUAGUAGAGAUUUGCACUUGCAGGACUCUGAAGAAAGCUGGGUUUGUGCACAAGGACAUGGAGUACCCAAGAAGGACACUGCUGCACACUCCAUUCUCUGGGCAUCCCUCUAGUCCAAGCCACCCAUUAGAUGGAGCCGCGGCCACAGAUAGUGGGGCUCCAGGAAGCAACUUCGAUGCAAACAUCGUCAUGAUCCUGGCUGUUCUUCUGUGUGCACUGAUCUGCGCUCUUGGGCUCAACUCCAUCGUUCGGUGUGCACUGCGGUGCUCGAGCCAGAUAGUGGUGGGCCCUGAACCAAACCAGGCGACGCGGCUUGCUCAGAGCGGGAUGAGGAGGAAGGCCCUCCGAGCCAUGCCGAUCCUGGUCUACUCGGCUGGGCUGAAGCUCAAUGCUGCUAACCCGAUGUGCGCAAUCUGCCUGUCAGACUUUGAGGCAGGGGAGCAUGUCAGGGUCCUCCCCAAAUGCAAGCAUGGCUUCCAUGUCCGGUGCAUCGACCGGUGGCUGCUGGCGCGGUCAACAUGCCCAACAUGUCGGCAGUCCCUGUCUAGAGUGCAGCAAAAAGCCUCUGGCUGCUCUGAGGCAAGCCGGGCCGAGCCAGAGCCUGCAUCUGCUCGCCCUGUCCUUGUGCCGCUCAGACCUGAAGGUUUGGUAACUCCUUAUGAUUUUUAGAAUGUUCAGUUGCUUCUUAAUUGUUACAUAAAGGUCGAGAAAAGGUAGAAACAAAAAAUUGUGCUCAUUAGAUCUUAAUGCCAGUCUGGUUUGUACAUUGUUGCUGGACAAAAGAUGUAAAGAUUUUUCUAGUUUUUGACUUGAUGUGUCAGUGCCGAUUGUUGCUGGAGAAUGUGCCAUGGACAAUACCAGUUGCUCUGGUGGGCCUUUUUGUGAAUCACCGUUUCAAUGUGAGUUUGUAAAAUGUAAAAAGAAGAGACAUGAUUGGCCGGUCUAAUCAUAUGGCAGUGCUGCACGACCACUAUGGUGAUUGGAGAUCAAGCUUUAGCUGCUACUUCAGAUUUCAGUGGGAACGGCAUAUUCUAUGCCAUUAUGAAGAGGUCCGGGGUUCAGCAGGGCUUGUGAUAUGCUUUGCUUCAAGGCCAUGGUUUUAGAUUUUUAUUAGUGGUCAUCAUGUAUGCACCCGCAGAAUUGAGAGGUGAGCCCACACCCAACUAUACCUGAUGCACAUUGGCUAAUUGUUUGCUAUUUUGUUCGUGCCAUCGUGUGAAUUGAUGUGAGGCCAACAGAAGAAUUGAUAGGCCAAUGAUAGAAGCUCAUGUGCUGUGUCAAAUUGCUAUUGCUCAUGAUAUUUUUCUCUUGUUUUUUGCUCUAAAGGCUAAAGCGAUUAAGCUAGUGCCUUUGGAGAUAGCUGGUUUAGCUAUGUGGCUAUCGUAUCUGUUGCUUUGAAAAUCAACAAGAACUUUGGUUUGUGCUCGCCGAGAAAGAAACUGCCCGGAUGCCCACUCAUAAGAAAGAUACGCUUGUGUGUGUGUUUUCAGAACUUAAACGGCUAUUUGGCUCGGGAAUCUUCAGAAUGAUAACAAUGUUUCCACUAUGUUGUUAUUAUCAAGAAUUCAGGAAUAGUGCUACAGCUAUUCGAAGAGGUCCCGUUUGCCGGAUAUAUUGACGGCACUUUUAAAGAAAUCUGGCAACAGCAUCAGCUCUUUAUUCGCCAAACUAUCCAAGUUUAUGCCAUUUUCAACUCAAUCGUCGAUGUUACGCUGUCAUACCUGUACUCUGUUUUUUUAUUAACGUUUGUUCAGCAAGUUGACAUAAGUUUUCGACGAAAUCUUAUACUAUUCUGCUUGCCAAUUUGUGGCCAAAACAGUUAUUUCUAAAAUAUCUGGGUUGGACCUGAGAAAUUUCUAAAAUACUGCCUCUUUCUAAAAUGCAAAUUGUUUUGAUUUUUCUAGGUAAAAUAGCUUAUGUUAUAUAGAUAUACAUUGUCUAGAUAUAGUAAAUUGAGAUAUCUAGAAAAGCUAAAAAUAACUUAUAAUUUUAAAUGGAGGGGAGUAGCUGAGAGACGAGAUGUAAACAUUUUCACGACACAAUUCAUUCAACAGCAGCAUUGUUUAUUUGUUUUAUUGUUGGCCACAACUUCUCCAAGCUUCACCUUUGUACUCCCUCUGUCUAGGAAAAAAAUAUACAAUUUUAACACAGUGUCAUGGUUUAGUAUCCUAAGUUUGAUUAAUUAUAAAUAAAAAAAUUAUCAAUAUUUAUUGAUAUCAAACAAAUAUCUUAGAUUCCUUACGAAAUGUAUUUCCAUAAUAAAUUAUUUUGGAGUCAUAAAUAUGAAUAAGAUUCACUAGAAAUUUGGUCAAAUAUGAAUUACUUUUACUGGCACUCAACUUAACGGAGUAUUAUAGAACACAUGCAAAAAAAAACAGCUUACAAGUACCCGUAGGCCAUAGCUCUGCAUCCACAUAUUUAUGGAGCUAGAAAUAUCGAAUUCCAAAAAAAUAAAUAAGAAAAAACCCACAAAUGUUUUAGAGUUAGUUAGACCUCUUUUCAAACGAGACUAUUUGGACAAAGAUAAAAGGAUGCAAAUCCAAUCCCCAAUGGUGUUUCCGUGCCGCAUUUUUCAUCUGCGAACUCAAAGGCAUCAUCAUCCGGCGAAAGCGAGUUGAUGCGGCGCUAAAUUUACAGGACGCCCAUCACUCCACGCCUCCACGGGCGAGGUCAGAUCAUGCCGAAAGAUGAGCUGAUCAGGAGUAGGAGUAGGUAACUGGAACUUCAAGAAGCUGUAUAUAUCAUGGCAGGCACGCCAGAUGACUGAUUUAGGCCUUGUUUAGAUGCACUCAAAAACUCAAAACUUUACAAAAUUCUCAAUCAUAUCGAAUCUUACGGCACUUGUAUGGAACAUUAAAUCACACUAUAAAAGAGCGAGUUUUUUGAGAGAUGCUCUCUCUCUAAUAACCGUUCGAUCUGAAUUUCGUGUUAUAUGAGCCUUUCAUCAUACGUGAUCUUACAUAUCUGAAUUUCGUGUUAUAUGAGCCUUUCAUCAUAUGUGAUCUUACAUCUUAUACGUAUAAAAUAUAAACGUCUACAACUCAAUCUCGCAUCACGCACAUACAAUCCUAAAUGGACUCUAUGAUCUGUCUAUUCUUGUGUCACGACUCCACGACUCCCUCUAUUCCCACGUCAACACGUGAAGAAAAAAGAAAUUUGAUCUUUCAAGAUAGAACUUCCUCGUGCAUGUGUGCACUUCAAAAUUAAUAAUAAUAAUAAUAAUAAUAAUAAUAAUAAUAAUAAUAAUAAUAAUAAUAAUAAUAAUAAUAAUAAUAAUAAUAAUAAUAAUAAUAAUAAUAGUAAUAAUAGUAGUAGUAAUAAUAAUAGUAGUAAUAAUAAUAGUAAUAAUAAUAGUAAUAAUAAUAAUAACAAUAAUAAUAAUAACAAUAAUAAUUUCUCCUAGACUCCUCGUAGACCAAGAUUUUUCCUAGACUCCAAAAAGGACCGUUUGAUCUUGACACCGUUUUUGGCCUAGUUCAGUUGGCAAAAACUUUUGGAAAACGACACUGAGCAUCCCCAACCGUUUUGCAAAUAAGCUUUGCAUUCAUGUAUUUGCAAAAAAGUCUUAAAAACACUUAUCCAACGGUUUGGCAUUUAGACUUUGCAAUUUUGUUAACUUGGCAAAAAAGAGGAAGGAUUGAUAUAUGCCAAACCUGUUCACACUUGGCAUUGAAAAAUUGGCGCGAAGUGAUUAAUACCAAACCAUUGGAGAUUGCCUCUUUUCACCUUUGCCAUAUUUUUUUGAGACUUGGCAAACUCCCUCAUUUGCCAAACCAAUUAUGCAAAACGGUUGGGGAUGCUCUAACACUUUCGUUUUUAUUUGACAAACAUUGUCUAAUUAUGGUGUAACUAGGUUUAAAAGAUUCGUCUCGCGAUUUACAGAUGAACUGUGCAAUUAGUUUUUGUUUUCAUAUAUAUUUAGUGCAGCAUGCAUGUGUCGUAAGAUUCGAUAUGAUAGAGAAUCUUAAAAAUUUUUGGGAACUAAACAAGGCCUUAUGUGAGCCUUUCGUCAUUUGAGAUCUUAUCACACAUAGCACACAACUCCUUCUCGGUCUCAAUUAGCACUUGACCGUGUCAUCUACACCGCAUAUGGUAGAGUUAAGGUAGAAUACGUAUAUAUAAGGAAGUAAAGUAGAAUACAUUAUAUGGAAGUAAAGUAAAUAAAGGCUGCUAACACGAAAUGUCCUCAUGUGGAUCGAUGAAGAAGAACAGAUCGGAAG